UCCGAACUAUUUCAUUUAGAUAUUAACAAUAUUUGACUACUAACAAAACCAUGCUCAUUUCAAUUAAAAUCCGAUGAUAAUCCCAACCUGCAUACAAUAAAAACACCGACAACAAAAACCCAAUUAGCCGCAGAACUGAAAAAUCCCCCAACCAUAACACCCGCGGAUUCUCUAAUCAUCUCUAACCGUCCCGAAACAACGUUGCAACUGAAGCUUGUAGCAGUAAAAUGAAACAAAGUUGCUAACAUUAACACCCCCAACUGCUACAUGCAAGCAAAGCCGGCAUUAGCGGAACCCAAACUUGCAGCAGCACCAUCAUCAAUUGCAGCAAUUGCA
Molecule: long non-coding RNA, 336 nt
Filed under: Lathyrus oleraceus (garden pea)
Lineage: Eukaryota; Viridiplantae; Streptophyta; Magnoliopsida; Fabales; Fabaceae
Description: Pisum sativum (pea) long non-coding RNA (PSAT_LNC000502)
Source: RNAcentral